This 640-nucleotide long non-coding RNA is filed under the name Anser brachyrhynchus (Pink-footed goose). RNAcentral's name for it is "lncRNA (ENSABRG00000012627.1)". Lineage: Eukaryota; Metazoa; Chordata; Aves; Anseriformes; Anatidae. The record is from RNAcentral.
ACAAGAGAGUGGCUUGGUGGAGUUGGGGUUCAUGCUGCAGUUUCUCUAUUGCAGAGCUUGAGUAAGUUUCGACCAAAAUCAGGAAUCUGAAAGAAAAGCAUGUCUGCUUUUAAUUUUCUUUCCUCUGAAGAUCUGUAAAUGUCACAGUGAUUGCAGUUUGACCUGACUAGCACUGUCUGAUUGGGGAGGCACAGUGCUCUCACUCUGUAAUAAUGCUGAUUGAUUGCCACACUAUUACGGAUCCCAGCUCACCAGGAACCCAUGAGAAACUUCUCGUCGUACAACUACACCGACUUCUCAAAAAAGGUCUCAACACAGUGGGAUUUUUAAGGCUACACAACUUUGGACCUACGUGCAAGUUCAAGUAACAGCAAAACCCGUGGAACUUGUGUUCACAAACUGUUUAUUCUAGUGGGUUUUGUACUCUGUGACCAUCAUCCAGAAACAAAGAGAGAAGAGCACUCUGAAAAUUGGAGAUCUGAGGGUUUAAAAAGUGUACCAGUAGGUGUUAGUCUGCAAAAAUAUGCGUGGGAGAAAAGGACAGUGAAACUAAGCCACCUAUUAAUACUGUACUUUAAAGGGCAAUAGAUGCCUUUAUCAUUAAAAUAAACUGAGAAAUCUGCCUAAAAGUAAAGAAGGA